UACGUAGGGGGCGAGCGUUGUCCGGAUUUAUUGGGCGUAAAGAGCGUGUAGGCGGUCAGGCAGGUCUGCUGUGAAAACUCGAGGCUCAACCUCGAGACGUCGGCGGAAACCAUCUGGCUAGAGUCCGGAAGAGGAGAGUGGAAUUCCUGGUGUAGCGGUGAAAUGCGCAGAUAUCAGGAAGAACACCCGUGGCGAAGGCGGCUCUCUGGGACGGUACUGACGCUGAGACGCGAAAGCGUGGGGAGCGAACAGG
This 253-nucleotide ribosomal RNA is filed under the name uncultured bacterium. RNAcentral's name for it is "partial 16S ribosomal RNA". It matches the Rfam family "Bacterial small subunit ribosomal RNA", at positions 524 to 776 of the family's 1533-position model. The record is from RNAcentral.